This 1002-nucleotide ribosomal RNA is filed under the name uncultured Planctomycetota bacterium. RNAcentral describes it as "bacterial SSU rRNA". It matches the Rfam family "Bacterial small subunit ribosomal RNA", at positions 505 to 1501 of the family's 1533-position model. The record is from RNAcentral. Lineage: Bacteria; Pseudomonadati; Planctomycetota.
GUGCCAGCAGCCGCGGUAAGACGAACCGUGCGAACGUUGUUCGGAAUCACUGGGCUUAAAGGGCGCGUAGGCGGGCUGCCAAGUCUGGGGUGAAAUCCUUCGGCUCAACCGGAGAACGGCCUCAGAUACUGGCGAUCUCGAGGAGGGUAGGGGCAUGCGGAACUAUGGGUGGAGCGGUGAAAUGCGUUGAUAUCCAUAGGAACUCCGGUGGCGAAGGCGGCGUGCUGGACCCUUUCUGACGCUGAGGCGCGAAAGCCAGGGGAGCAAACGGGGUUAGAUACCCCGGUAGUCCUGGCCCUAAACGUUGGGAACUAGGUAGUAGACUCGACAUAGGUUUACUGCCGAAGCUAAAGUGCUAAGUUCCCCGCCUGGGGAGUAUGGUCGCAAGGCUGAAACUCAAAGGAAUCGACGGGGCUCACACAAGCGGUGGAGCAUGUGGCUUAAUUCGAGGCUACGCGAAGAACCUUAUCCUGGACUUGACAUGUGCGAAAGCGGCAAGAAGUAGCUCGCGGAAACGUGGGGCCAACGGUAUCCAGUCCGGAACUUGUCACAGGUGCUGCAUGGCUGUCGUCAGCUCGUGUCGUGAGAUGUCGGGUUAAGUCCCAUAACGAGCGAAACCCUUACCCUCAGUUGCCAGCGUAAAGUCGGGAACUCUGGGGGGACUGCCGGUGUUAAACCGGAGGAAGGUGGGAAUGACGUCAAGUCCUCAUGGCCUUUAUGUCCAGGGCUGCACACGUGCUACAAUGGCGUGAACAAAGGGACGCGAACGUGCGAACGUAAGCAAAUCCCAAAAAACACGCCCCAGCUCAGAUCGCAGGCUGCAACUCCCCUGCGUGAAGUCGGAAUCGCUAGUAAUCGCGGGUCAGCAACACCGCGGUGAAUGUGUUCCUGAGCCUUGUACACACCGCCCGUCAAGCCACGAAAGGAAGGGACGGCCGAAGUCAUCUUUACCGAUGCCGACGCCGGACUUUCCGAUUGGGACUAAGUCGUAACAAGGUAACC